This 440-nucleotide long non-coding RNA is filed under the name Homo sapiens (human). RNAcentral's name for it is "non-protein coding lnc-ZNF723-2:3". The record is from RNAcentral. Lineage: Eukaryota; Metazoa; Chordata; Mammalia; Primates; Hominidae.
CACUCUCUUCUUCCUGAGCUCUACCCACAAAGGAAAGAUUGUGGCAUAUUACUGAACUAAGCAACCUAGUGACGUGUCUCUUCUGACUGGGGCUUGCCCACAGAGACAACUGUGACAUAGCACUGAGCCCAGGACCCAGGUGAUGUGACUCUGCUGCCUGUUUCCAACAUUCAUGAGAGGAUGGUAACUAUCCCUUGCCAAGAACUCAGGUGAUUUGACUGUCCUGCCUUGUUGCUGCCCUCAGAGAAGAUUGUGAUAUAUCUUCAGCCCCAAACCCAGUUUUUGCCCACAGGGGAGAUUGUGACAUAUCACUGGGCCUCAAACUAAGGUGAAGUUACACUUUCAUUUUCGAACUGUACUCAGAAGGCAUCGUGACAUAUUCCUGGGCCCAGCACCAAGGUGAUGUGAGUCUCCUGCCUGCACUUUGCCCACAAAUGGCA